Leptodontidium sp. MPI-SDFR-AT-0119 is the source of this 101-nucleotide non-coding RNA. Lineage: Eukaryota; Fungi; Ascomycota; Leotiomycetes; Helotiales; Leptodontidiaceae. The record is from the annotation of a GenBank genome assembly.
UCCGGAAUGGUGUAGUGGUUAGCAUUUCUGCCUUUCAUCUGUCCCUAUUCAAGGGUAGGAAAGUAUCGCAGGAGACCGGGGUUCAAUUCCCCGUUCCGGAA